This 253-nucleotide ribosomal RNA is filed under the name uncultured bacterium. RNAcentral describes it as "partial 16S ribosomal RNA". It matches the Rfam family "Bacterial small subunit ribosomal RNA", at positions 526 to 779 of the family's 1533-position model. The record is from RNAcentral.
CGUAGGUCACAAGCGUUGUCCGGAAUUACUGGGUGUAAAGGGAGCGCAGGCGGGAAGACAAGUUGGAAGUGAAAUCUAUGGGCUCAACCCAUAAACUGCUUUCAAAACUGUUUUCUUGAGUAGUGCAGAGGUAGGCGGAAUUCCCGGUGUAGCGGUGGAAUGCGUAGAUAUCGGGAGGAACACCAGUGGCGAAGGCGGCCUACUGGGCACCAACUGACGCUGAGGCUCGAAAGUGUGGGUAGCAAACAGGAUU